This 460-nucleotide ribosomal RNA is filed under the name uncultured bacterium. Its description in RNAcentral is "partial 16S ribosomal RNA". It matches the Rfam family "Bacterial small subunit ribosomal RNA", at positions 338 to 795 of the family's 1533-position model. The record is from RNAcentral.
CCUACGGGUGGCAGCAGUGAGGAAUAUUGGUCAAUGGGCGCUAGCCUGAACCAGCCAAGUAGCGUGAAGGAUGACUGCCCUAUGGGUUGUAAACUUCUUUUAUAUGGGACUAAAGUGCAGUAUGUAUACUGCUUUGCAUGUACCUUAUGAAUAAGGAUCGGCUAACUCCGUGCCAGCGGCCGCGGUAAUACGGAGGUUCCGACCGUUAUCCGGUUUUAUUGGGUUUAAAGGGAGCGUAGGCGGGUUGUUAAGUCAGUUGUGAAAGUUUGCGGCUAAACGGUUAAAUUGCAGUUGAUACUGGCAUCCUGGAGUGCAGUAGAGGUAGGAGGAAUUCGUGGUGUAGCGGUGAAAUGCUUAGAUAUCACGCAGAACUCCGAUUGCGAAGGCAGCCUGCUGGACUGUAACUGACGCUGAUGCACGAAAGUGUGGGUAUCAAACAGGAUUAGAUACCCGGGUAGUC